GAUGAACGCUGGCGGCGUGCCUAAUACAUGCAAGUCGAGCGAACGGACGAGAAGCUUGCUUCUCUGAUGUUAGCGGCGGACGGGUGAGUAACACGUGGAUAACCUACCUAUAAGACUGGGAUAACUUCGGGAAACCGGAGCUAAUACCGGAUAAUAUUUUGAACCGCAUGGUUCGAAAGUAAAAGACGGUCUUGCUGUCACUUAUAGAUGGAUCCGCGCUGCAUUAGCUAGUUGGUAAGGUAACGGCUUACCAAGGCAACGAUGCAUAGCCGACCUGAGAGGGUGAUCGGCCACACUGGAACUGAGACACGGUCCAGACUCCUACGGGAGGCAGCAGUAGGGAAUCUUCCGCAAUGGGCGAAAGCCUGACGGAGCAACGCCGCGUGAGUGAUGAAGGUCUUCGGAUCGUAAAACUCUGUUAUUAGGGAAGAACAUAUGUGUAAGUAACUGUGCACAUCUUGACGGUACCUAAUCAGAAAGCCACGGCUAACUACGUG
Molecule: ribosomal RNA, 497 nt
Filed under: uncultured bacterium
Lineage: Bacteria
Description: partial 16S ribosomal RNA
Rfam family: Bacterial small subunit ribosomal RNA
Source: RNAcentral